AUGAAUAUUGAUUUAUGUAAACUGUUUACGGACCAAGAGAUUGGUGACACACUCUUUCAAAUUGGCCCACUUAAAGCUCCGGGUCCAGAUGGCUUUCCGGCAAGGUUUUUUCAAAGGAAUUGGGGAGUGCUGAAGGAGGAUAUUAUUCGUGCGAUUCAAAAGUUUUUUGAUACAGGUAUAAUGCCGGAGGGUGUAAAUGAUACGGUGAUUGUUCUUAUUCCUAAGGUGAAAAAUCCCCAAGCGAUCAAAGACUUCCAGCCUAUCAGUCUGUGUAAUGUUAUUUAUAAAAUUAUAUCUAAGUGCCUUGUGAACAGACUGAGACCGCAACUUGAUGGUAUGAUUUCUCCAACCCAAAGUGCCUUUAUCCCUGGGAGACUGAUAUCUGAUAAUGCUCUUAUUGCAUUUGAGUGUAUGCAUUCGUUAAGUACUCCGAAGGAUGGACGGGGUGAAUUCUGUGCUUAUAAAUUGGACCUUGCCAAGGCAUAUGAUAGAGUGGAUUGGAAUUUUUUGAAGUGCAUGUUGAGCGCGUUGGGGUUUGCAUCAGGGUGGAUAAAAUGGAUUAUGGCCUGUGUUACUUCAGUGAAAUUUUCAGUACGCUUCAAUGGCCAGCUCUUGGAGUCAUUCUCGCCAUCAUGUGGUAUCAGGCAAGGGGACCCUAUCUCACCAUACUUAUUCUUAUUUGUGGCCGAAGCUCUUUCUUUAUUGUUACAGAAUGCGUGUACUAGAGGAUCUCUUCUAGAGUUCAAGGUUAAUAGACAGGCCCCGGGUAUUUCACAUCUCUUGUUUGCCGAUGAUUGUCUUUUAUUUUUCAAGGGGUCCAUUGAGCAAGCCUUGGCAAUCAAAAAUAUUAUUGCGACUUAUGAGAAGGGAACGGGUCAACUGCUGAGCCCUGAUAAAUGCUCUAUCUUAUUCGGCAAGAAUUGUAGUAUGGAGGUCCAAGUGGUUGUUAUUGUAAUUCUAAGCAUUACCUCGAAGGGAUUUGAGGAUAAAUAUCUUGGGCUCCCGGUGCCACAAGGGAGAAUGAAGGCUGGUAAAUUUCAAUCCACUCAGGAAAAAGCCCUCAAAAUUUUAUCGGACUGGAUAGAAAAAUAUGCCUCGUGUGGGGCGAAAGAAACUUUGAUUAAAUCUGUCCCGCAAGCUCUUCCGGUGUACGCAAUGGGUAUUUUUAAAUUUUCGGCAUCACUCUGUGAGGAGUUGUCUCAGAUCAUAAGGAAUUUCUGGUGGGGUGACGAGGAGAAUAGGAGGAAGACUCAUUAG
This 1257-nucleotide ribosomal RNA is filed under the name Triticum aestivum (bread wheat). RNAcentral's name for it is "partial small subunit ribosomal RNA". Lineage: Eukaryota; Viridiplantae; Streptophyta; Magnoliopsida; Poales; Poaceae. The record is from RNAcentral.